AAUCAACGCUGGCGGCGUGCCUCAGACAUGCAAGUCGAACGAGAACCUCCCUUCGGGGAGGGGACAGUGGCGCACGGGUGAGUAACACGUGGGUAAUUUACCUUUGGGUGGGGAACAACAGCCGGAAACGGCUGCUAAUACCGCAUAAUGCAGCGGCUCGACAUCGAGACAGUUGUUAAAGCGGGGGAUCGCAAGACCUCGCGCCUGAAGAGAAGCCUGCGGCGGAUUAGCAGUUGGUAGGGUAAUGGCCUACCAAGGCGACGAUCUGUAACCGGCCUGAGAGGGCGGUCGGUCACACUGACACUGACAUACGGGUCAGACUCCUACGGGAGGCAGCAGUCGGGAAUUUUGGGCAAGUGGGCGAAAGCCUGACCCAGCAACGCCGCGUGAAGGAUGAAG
RNAcentral lists this ribosomal RNA (399 nucleotides) under uncultured bacterium. RNAcentral's name for it is "bacterial SSU rRNA". It matches the Rfam family "Bacterial small subunit ribosomal RNA", at positions 32 to 413 of the family's 1533-position model. The record is from RNAcentral.